CGGUAAUUCCAGCUCCAACAGCGUAUAUUAAAGUUGUUGCAGUUAAAAAGCUCGUAGUUGGAUUUCUGCGGGGACGGAGCGGCCGGACGCAACUUGCGUCUCGUGCUAGCGCUUUCCCCCGCAUCCUGCCGCGAACCGUGCUACCAUUAGUUUGGUGGCGCUGGGGAUCGGCUCGAUUACUUUGAGAAAAAUAGAGUGUUCAAAGCAGGCCACACGCCUUGAAUAAGUUAGCAUGGAAUAAUGACUAAGGACUUUGGUUCUUUUCGUUGGUGUUCGGGACUGAAGUAAUGAUUGAUAGGGACAGUUGGGGCGGUCCGUAUUCCAAAGCGAGAGGUGAAAUUCUUAGACCUUCGGAAGACGAACAGCUGCGAAAGCGUUCCGCAAGGAUGUUCCCUUUGAUCAAGAACGAAAGUUGGGGGAUCGAAGACGAUCAGAUACCGUCGUAGUCUCAACUAUAAACUAUACCAGCUAGGGAUCGGCCAACGUUUAAUUAUUCGACUUGGUCGGCACCUUAUGAGAAAUCAAAGCAUCUGGAUUCCGGGGGGAGUAUGGUCGCAAGGCUGAAACUUAAAGGAAUUGACGGAAGGGCACCACCAGGCGUGGAGCCUGUGGCUUAAUUUGACUCAACACGGGAAAACUUACCAGGUCCAGACAUAGGAAGGAUUGACAGAUUGAUAGCUCUUUCUUGAUUCUGUGGGUGGUGGUGCAUGGCCGUUUUUAGUCGGUGAAGUGAUUUGUCUGCUUAAUUGCGUUAACGGACGAGACCCCAGCCUGCUAAAUAGCGCGGCCGAGCUUUGCUCGGUACGGGCUUCUUAGAGGGACCAUGAUGCGCGAUAGCACAAGGAAGUUUGGGGCAACAACAGGUCUGUGAUGCCCUUAGAUGUUCUGGGCCGCACACGGGCUACACUGGCGCCUGCAACGAGCAUAUCAGCUGGCCCGAGAGGGUCUUGGCUAAUCUUUGGAACCGGCGCCGUGCUUGGGAUUGACCAUUGCAAUUGUUGGUCAUGCAGCGAGGAAUGCCUUGUAAACGCGAGUCAUCAGCUCGCAUUGAAUACGUCCCUGCCCUUUGUACACACCGCCCGUCGCUCCUACCGAUGAAUGUUCCGAUGAAAUUUUCGGAGAGCGCCGGAGAACGGGGCUCUGCCCUGCAGAACUGGAGGCUCAAAGUCACUUAAAUCUGAACAUUUCGAGGAAGGAGAAGUCGUAACAAGGUAACC
Molecule: ribosomal RNA, 1217 nt
Filed under: uncultured Rhizaria
Lineage: Eukaryota
Description: SSU rRNA
Rfam family: Eukaryotic small subunit ribosomal RNA
Source: RNAcentral